Molecule: ribosomal RNA, 332 nt
Filed under: uncultured bacterium
Lineage: Bacteria
Description: bacterial SSU rRNA
Rfam family: Bacterial small subunit ribosomal RNA
Source: RNAcentral
AACGAACGCUGGCGGCGUGGAUAAGACAUGCAAGUCGAGCGGGAACUUUCGCUGUAGCAGUACAGUGAAAGUUCUAGCGGCGAACGGGUGCGUAACACGUGGACAAUCUGCCUUAAAGUGGGGGAUAGCUCGGCGAAAGCCGAAUUAAUACCGCAUGUGAUGAGAGACGACAUCGUCUUGAAAUCAAAGCCGGGGCAACCUGGCGCUUUUUGAGGAGUCCGCGGCCAUCAGCUUGUUGGUGAGGUAACGGCUCACCAAGGCUAUGACGGGUAGCUGGUCUGAGAGGGCGGUCGGCCACACUGACACUGACAUACGGGUCAGACUCCUACGGG